UAGCAAUACGGCAGCGGCAGACGGGAGAGUAACACGUGGGAACGCGCCCUUCGGUUCGGGAUAACUCAGGGAAACUUGGGCUAAUACCGGAUACGCCCUUACGGGGAAAGAUUUAUUGCCGAAGGAACGGCCCGCGUCCGAUUAGCUUGUUGGUGAGGUAACGGCUCACCAAGGCGACGAUCGGUAGCUGGUCUGAGAGGAUGACCAGCCUCACUGGGACUGAGACACGGCCCAGACUCCUACGGGAGGCAGCAGUGGGGAAUAUUGGACAAUGGGCGCAAGCCUGAUCCAGCCAUGCCGCGUGGGUGAUGAAGGCCCUAGGG
This 323-nucleotide ribosomal RNA is filed under the name uncultured bacterium. RNAcentral describes it as "bacterial SSU rRNA". It matches the Rfam family "Bacterial small subunit ribosomal RNA", at positions 81 to 422 of the family's 1533-position model. The record is from RNAcentral.